AAGGCGGGCCUAGCUGGUGAUGAGAGUCUGACGGAGCACGCCGCGUGAGUGAUGAAGGCUUUCGGGUCGUAAAACUCUGUUGUUAGGGAAGAACAAGUGCUAGUUGAAUAAGCUGGCACCUUGACGGUACCUAACCAGAAAGCCACGGCUAACUACGUGCCAGCAGCCGCGGUAAUACGUAGGUGGCAAGCGUUAUCCGGAAUUAUUGGGCGUAAAGCGCGCGCAGGUGGUUUCUUAAGUCUGAUGUGAAAGCCCACGGCUCAACCGUGGAGGGUCAUUGGAAACUGGGAGACUUGAGUGCAGAAGAGGAAAGUGGAAUUCCAUGUGUAGCGGUGAAAUGCGUAGAGAUAUGGAGGAACACCAGUGGCGAAGGCGACUUUCUGGUCUGUAACUGACACUGAGGCGCGAAAGCGUGGGGAGCAAACAGGAUUAGAUACCCCGGUAGUCAA
RNAcentral lists this ribosomal RNA (449 nucleotides) under Bacillus sp. (in: firmicutes). Its description in RNAcentral is "bacterial SSU rRNA". It matches the Rfam family "Bacterial small subunit ribosomal RNA", at positions 352 to 797 of the family's 1533-position model. The record is from RNAcentral. Lineage: Bacteria; Bacillati; Bacillota; Bacilli; Caryophanales; Bacillaceae.